GCCUGACUGGCUCAGUGGAAGAGCAUGUACUGUUGAUCUUGAGAUCAUGAGUUCAAGUCCCAUGUUGGGUA
Molecule: transfer RNA, 71 nt
Filed under: Ailuropoda melanoleuca (giant panda)
Lineage: Eukaryota; Metazoa; Chordata; Mammalia; Carnivora; Ursidae
Rfam family: tRNA
About the family: Transfer RNA (tRNA) molecules are approximately 80 nucleotides in length. Their secondary structure includes four short double-helical elements and three loops (D, anti-codon, and T loops).
Source: Rfam by way of RNAcentral